RNAcentral lists this ribosomal RNA (1351 nucleotides) under Staphylococcus aureus. RNAcentral's name for it is "bacterial SSU rRNA". It matches the Rfam family "Bacterial small subunit ribosomal RNA", at positions 196 to 1533 of the family's 1533-position model. The record is from RNAcentral. Lineage: Bacteria; Bacillati; Bacillota; Bacilli; Caryophanales; Staphylococcaceae.
AAAAGUGAAAGACGGUCUUGCUGUCACUUAUAGAUGGAUCCGCGCUGCAUUAGCUAGUUGGUAAGGUAACGGCUUACCAAGGCAACGAUGCAUAGCCGACCUGAGAGGGUGAUCGGCCACACUGGAACUGAGACACGGUCCAGACUCCUACGGGAGGCAGCAGUAGGGAAUCUUCCGCAAUGGGCGAAAGCCUGACGGAGCAACGCCGCGUGAGUGAUGAAGGUCUUCGGAUCGUAAAACUCUGUUAUUAGGGAAGAACAUAUGUGUAAGUAACUGUGCACAUCUUGACGGUACCUAAUCAGAAAGCCACGGCUAACUACGUGCCAGCAGCCGCGGUAAUACGUAGGUGGCAAGCGUUAUCCGGAAUUAUUGGGCGUAAAGCGCGCGUAGGCGGUUUUUUAAGUCUGAUGUGAAAGCCCACGGCUCAACCGUGGAGGGUCAUUGGAAACUGGAAAACUUGAGUGCAGAAGAGGAAAGUGGAAUUCCAUGUGUAGCGGUGAAAUGCGCAGAGAUAUGGAGGAACACCAGUGGCGAAGGCGACUUUCUGGUCUGUAACUGACGCUGAUGUGCGAAAGCGUGGGGAUCAAACAGGAUUAGAUACCCUGGUAGUCCACGCCGUAAACGAUGAGUGCUAAGUGUUAGGGGGUUUCCGCCCCUUAGUGCUGCAGCUAACGCAUUAAGCACUCCGCCUGGGGAGUACGACCGCAAGGUUGAAACUCAAAGGAAUUGACGGGGACCCGCACAAGCGGUGGAGCAUGUGGUUUAAUUCGAAGCAACGCGAAGAACCUUACCAAAUCUUGACAUCCUUUGACAACUCUAGAGAUAGAGCCUUCCCCUUCGGGGGACAAAGUGACAGGUGGUGCAUGGUUGUCGUCAGCUCGUGUCGUGAGAUGUUGGGUUAAGUCCCGCAACGAGCGCAACCCUUAAGCUUAGUUGCCAUCAUUAAGUUGGGCACUCUAAGUUGACUGCCGGUGACAAACCGGAGGAAGGUGGGGAUGACGUCAAAUCAUCAUGCCCCUUAUGAUUUGGGCUACACACGUGCUACAAUGGACAAUACAAAGGGCAGCGAAACCGCGAGGUCAAGCAAAUCCCAUAAAGUUGUUCUCAGUUCGGAUUGUAGUCUGCAACUCGACUACAUGAAGCUGGAAUCGCUAGUAAUCGUAGAUCAUCAUGCUACGGUGAAUACGUUCCCGGGUCUUGUACACACCGCCCGUCACACCACGAGAGUUUGUAACACCCGAAGCCGGUGGAGUAACCUUUUAGGAGCUAGCCGUCGAAGGUGGGACAAAUGAUUGGGGUGAAGUCGUAACAAGGUAGCCGUAUCGGAAGGUGCGGCUGGAUCACCUCCUUU